GACGAACGCUGGCGGCGUGCUUAACACAUGCAAGUCGAACGGAAAGGCCCUGCUUGCAGGGUACUCGAGUGGCGAACGGGUGAGUAACACGUGGGUGAUCUGCCCUGCACUUCGGGAUAAGCUUGGGAAACUGGGUCUAAUACCGGAUAGGAGCCAUCUUUAGUGUGGUGGCUGGAAAGUUUUUACGGUGUAGGAUGAGCUCGCGGCCUAUCAGCUUGUUGGUGGGGUAAUGGCCUACCAAGGCGGCGACGGGUAGCCGGCCUGAGAGGGUGUACGGCCACAUUGGGACUGAGAUACGGCCCAGACUCCUACGGGAGGCAGCAGUGGGGAAUAUUGCACAAUGGGCGCAAGCCUGAUGCAGCGACGCCGCGUGGGGGAUGAAGGCCUUCGGGUUGUAAACUCCUUUCGCUAGGGACGAAGCUUUUUUGUGACGGUACCUAGAUAAGAAGCACCGGCUAACUACGUG
Molecule: ribosomal RNA, 466 nt
Filed under: uncultured bacterium
Lineage: Bacteria
Description: partial 16S ribosomal RNA
Rfam family: Bacterial small subunit ribosomal RNA
Source: RNAcentral